This 737-nucleotide long non-coding RNA is filed under the name Panax ginseng (ginseng). Its description in RNAcentral is "long non-coding RNA (PGIN_LNC002506)". The record is from RNAcentral. Lineage: Eukaryota; Viridiplantae; Streptophyta; Magnoliopsida; Apiales; Araliaceae.
UGAUAUAUAGCUAAAAUUACAAAGAAUAUUAAUAUCAUACAAUACAUUUACAUCCCAAUAAUUCUUUGUAAUGCCUAUUACAAAGAAUAUUAAUAUCAUACAAUACGUUUACAUCUCAAUAAUGCCAAACUAUCCAUACAUCUCAAAUUCACUUUUCAAUAUAAUUACUACUAUAUUGAAUUGUGAAUUUGAGAAGAUCAAUAAAAAGAUUCACAAAUUAGAGUACAAGGUUGAAUUAAUCGACUUUUCUUGGAUGUUGUAAGGCUUCAAUCAGACCAUUUUUUUCCCUGCAAAAACUUGAGACCAAAUCAAGCAGUUUCAACUUGCACAGCAUGUGGCAUCAUAAAAACUUGCACCAUUUCAUUUGAACUAGGUCCUUAAAAACUGAGUCAUGUUAUCAAACAUAGAAUUGUCACCCUAGCCACACUUACUUGAGUAUUGCUGGAAAUGGGACGAAGAAGGGCACCUGCACCAGCAACUCUUUCUCUUGCACUAGCUAUUGAUGGGAGACGAGACCCCAAAGCAAUUGCAGAGGAAUAUACGACAUGCAGCAGUACCACCACCAAGUGAAUGGCCAACAAUCUGAAAGUAAAAUGGGAAACCUUGGUUACAACACCCAUAUAGAUCAACAGACAUUUAACGACAAUUUUUAUGGAAAAUGACAAUUGGACUUGAAGAAAUGGCCAAUAAUAGGAAGGCUUAAAAAUUCCCUUCCUCUUACAAUCAGAAGAUGCAAA